Molecule: non-coding RNA, 640 nt
Filed under: Echinostoma caproni
Lineage: Eukaryota; Metazoa; Platyhelminthes; Trematoda; Plagiorchiida; Echinostomatidae
Description: Eukaryotic small subunit ribosomal RNA
Rfam family: Eukaryotic small subunit ribosomal RNA
Source: Rfam by way of RNAcentral
AAUCUGGUUGAUCCCGGCAGUAGUCAUGUGCUCAGAGGUUAAGUCAUGCGUUUCUAAGUACUUACCCUCAAACGGUGAAACCAUGAGUGGUUCGUGAAAUCAGCUGUGGUUCUUUGGAUCUUGCAUAGUACAUGGAUAACUGUACUAAUUCGGGGUUUUGUGCCUGUCUUUAUGUCCUUACUCGCAAGGGAACGGCUGAAUUUAUCAAGACAACCAAGCGGGAGCGGCUUCGGUCAGUCCGGUUGCAUUGUAUGAUGAAUCUGGGUAAAUUCACCGAUCACAAUUGGCCUUGUGUCGGCGACAGAUCUCCCAGAUGUCUGCCCUAUAAAUUUGAAACUGUAGGUAACCUUAUGAUGGUUCUAUCGAAUAACGGGGAAUCAGGGUUCGAUUCCGGAGACGGUUUGAAAAACAGCUACCAAGAAAGGCAGCAGGCACGCAGAUUAUCCAAUAUCGCCGCGGGGAGAUGACCAAAAUACGGAUACGGGAAUCAAUAAAGACUCCGUAAUUUGAAUGAACGCAACCUAAAUCCCUUAACUUGGAUCAACUGAAGGGCAAGUGUGGUUCUGGUGUUGGGAAUGCGAUCAAACUUGUUCAUUUAGAGGAAGCUAAAGCCGUAGGUGAACCAACGGAAGAAUCAUUG